UACGUAGGGAGCGAGCGUUAUCCGGAUUUAUUGGGCGUAAAGCGCGCGUAGGCGGGCUAUUAAGUCAGGUGUUAAAGCCCGGGGCUCAACCCCGGCCCGCACCUGAAACUGGUAGUCUUGAGUCUGGUAGGGGAAAGUGGAAUUCCCAGUGUAGCGGUGAAAUGCGCAGAUAUUGGGAAGAACACCAGUGGCGAAGGCGGCUUUCUAGGCCACGACUGACGCUGAGGCGCGAAAGCUAGGGGAGCAAACAG
RNAcentral lists this ribosomal RNA (251 nucleotides) under uncultured bacterium. RNAcentral describes it as "partial 16S ribosomal RNA". It matches the Rfam family "Bacterial small subunit ribosomal RNA", at positions 524 to 775 of the family's 1533-position model. The record is from RNAcentral.